CCAAGUGAAUAAGCGCAUUCGGUGAAUGCCUAGGCGGUAAAAGGCGAUGAAGGACGUGACAACCUGCGAUAAGCCUCGGGAAGUUGGUAAUAAACUUUGAUCCGGGGAUGUCCGAAUGGGGAAACCCAACUGUUUUUAACAGUUAUCAAAUACUGAAUACAUAGGUAUUUGAAGCAAACCCAGGGAACUGAAAUAUCUAAGUACCUGGAGGAAAAGAAAUCAACCGAGAUUCCCUUAGUAGCGACGAGCGAAAGGGGAACAGCCCAGAUACAAUAAUCUUAAAUUACUUAACAAAACGUUCUGGAAAGUUCGGCCAUAGUAGGUGAUAGCCCUGUAUGUGAAAAGUAUGAUAAGUGUGUAUCGAAGAGUAGAGCGAGGCACGUGAAACCUUGUUUGAACAUAGGGGGACCAUCCUCUAAGGCUAAAUACUAAUUACCGACCGAUAGUGAACCAGUACCGUGAGGGAAAGGCGAAAAGAACCCCGACGAGGGGAGUGAAAUAGAACCUGAAACCGUUUGCGUACAAGCAGUAGGAGCCCGUUUACGGGUGACUGCGUACCUUUUGUAUAAUGGGUCAGUGAGUUACUUUUAGUGGCAAGCUUAACUUUCUUAGGGAGGCGUAGGGAAACCGAGUCUUAAUAGGGCGUUUAGUCGCUAGGAGUAGACCCGAAACCAGGCGAUCUAUCCAUGGCCAGGGUGAAGGUGGGGUAAAACCUACUGGAGGCCCGAACCGGGUAAUGUUGAAAAAUUAUCGGAUGAGCUGUGGAUAGGAGUGAAAGGCUAAUCAAGCCUGGAGAUAGCUGGUUCUCCCCGAAAACUAUUUAGGUAGUGCCUCAUGUAUUACUCUCGGGGGUAGAGCACUGUUUCGGCUAGGGGGACAUCCCGUCUUACCAAACCGAUGCAAACUCCGAAUACCGAGAAGUAGAGCAUGGGAGACACACAGCGGGUGCUAACGUCCGUUGUGGAAAGGGAAACAACCCAGAUCGCCAACUAAGGUCCCAAAAUUACAGUUAAGUGGGAAACGAAGUGAGAAGUCAAAGACAGCCAGGAGGUUGGCUUAGAAGCAGCCAUCCUUUAAAGAAAGCGUAACAGCUCACUGGUCAAGUCGACUUGCGCGGAAGAUUUAACGGGGCUAAAACUGUGUACCGAAGUUGCGAAUGCUUAUCUUUUGAUAAGCGUGGUAGGGGAGCGUUCUGUAAGCCUAUGAAGGUGUGCUGCGAGGCAUGCUGGAGGUAUCAGAAGUGAGAAUGCUGACAUGAGUAACGAUAAUGCGGGUGAAAAACCUGCACGCCGAAAACCCAAGGGUUCCUGCGCAACGUUAAUCGACGCAGGGUUAGUCGGUUCCUAAGGCGAGACCGAAAGGUGUAGUCGAUGGACAACAGGUUAAUAUUCCUGUACCGCGUUUACUGCGAUGGGGGGACGGAGAAGGCUAAGCUUACCGGGUGUUGGUUAUCCCGGGAAAAGUAUGUAGGUAGGAAACUUUAGUAAAUCUGGGUUUCUAUUACUGAGGUACGAGACCAUCGAUUUUUUAAUCGAGAAGUAGCUGAUGCCACGCUUCCAAGAAAAUCCUCUAAGCUUCAGGUAAAACGUGACCGUACCCCAAACCGACACAGGUGGGUGGGAUGAGAAUUCUAAGGCGCUUGAGAAAAUUCUGGUGAAGGAACUAGGCAAAUUGGUACCGUAACUUCGGGAGAAGGUACGCCUUUGUUGGUGAUGGAACUUGCUUCCUAAGCUGACGAAGGUCUCAGAAACCAGGUGGCUGCGACUGUUUACUAAAAACACAGCACUCUGCAAACUCGUAAGAGGACGUAUAGGGUGUGACGCCUGCCCGGUGCCGGAAGGUUAAUUGAUCGGGUUAGCAUUUAUGCGAAGCUCGUGAUCGAAGCCCCGGUGAACGGCGGCCGUAACUAUAACGGUCCUAAGGUAGCGAAAUUCCUUGUCGGGUAAGUUCCG
Molecule: ribosomal RNA, 1952 nt
Filed under: marine metagenome
Description: bacterial LSU rRNA
Rfam family: Bacterial large subunit ribosomal RNA
Source: RNAcentral